Molecule: long non-coding RNA, 5786 nt
Filed under: Sus scrofa (pig)
Lineage: Eukaryota; Metazoa; Chordata; Mammalia; Artiodactyla; Suidae
Description: lncRNA (ENSSSCG00040010690.1)
Source: RNAcentral
UGGCGGCAGCAGAACUCGCCUAAGUCGGUUUCCUCCCGGGCGGCCGUCGGUUCACUUCCUGCUUGUCCAACUUUCAGCCCGCCCCCGCCCACCUCGCAUCCCGAGCCGCUCCGGCCACACCUCGCGCAGGUUCCCCAGGUAGGCGGGCACCCUCCACAGCCCUCCCAGUCUCCUCCCCUGCCAGGGCUUAGGCUUAAAGCCACAGGGCUCCCUGGCACCACAAUUCUUCUCACGUAUCAGGAACCAGGGAAAAAAAGAUCAGGCAGCCCUCCUAGGUUUACUGACGUAGAAAGGGCAGCCAUCUCCUCCCCCUCCCGCUUUUUUUGGCCGCCUCACGGCACAUGGAAUUCCCAGCCGACCAAAGCAGCCUGCGGCAACGCUGGAUCCUUAACCCACUGUGCUGAGCUGGGGAUCAAACCUGCGUCCUGGAGCUGCAGAGACGCUGCCAAUCCUAUUGCACCACAGCGGGAAGUCCCGCUUCUUUUUCUAAAGUCCUGAAUAUCUGACCCUCAAUUCUUGGAGAUUGAACUCAACUUUCAGCACCUUGUUCGCAUGGGAACAGGAUGCAGAGAUGAACACUUUCUGGACAGACCUUGCUCCCAAGUCUGUUUUAGUGUAGAAAGCACUAAAACCCCCAGAGUCUGGAAUGCUGGGAUUCUGGGCUCUGGUGUCAGAAGGCUGCAGACCCUGAGUGAACCUCUGCCUGUCUGGGUUUUGCAGGUGCUGACGCUGACCUCAGAGGGUGGUGGUGAGGAAUAAAAGGAUAGAACAUAGCAUGUGCCUAGCACAGUGUCUGGAACCAAGGGCUGCCCACUGCUGGAAUCAGGAAAUGAUGGCUCACCAACCCCCCUUUCCUUCCAGAGUUCAACAGUCCUGCAUGUACGUCUCUUCAGGAGCCACCAUGUGGGUUGGUGAGCCCUGUCAGAAACAGUCAGACGACUGCCCUAUGGAGCAGGAAAAGGGGCCCAGGGCAAAGGAUUUUUCCACCAACCUGGCUCCAGGCCAGAGAAAAUCCACUCUUCCUGGAUGGUGUUUAUCAAGACAGAAGAACAAUAACAGGGACGUGCAGAAGGGAACAAACAUUCCUGUCCCAUCCCAGAAGAGAAUCCACGCAGGCCUGGCCGCACUGGUGCGAACAUCACAAUGGUACCCUCUGUCAGAAGACCACCUUGAUAGCCCCCUCACAAGGUGAGGCAUUCAGUAAGGCAACAAACUACAGGCUCUGAGCAGAAAUGGUGCUGUAGGCAGGGAACAAGAAGAGAACAAAAGUCACCAGUUCCUUUACAGUCGAGGACGCCUCUAUCCCAGAAGUGGAGGUCAGUCACUUUGUAAGAUGCCAGUGGGGGAGCUGCAGCCAAAGGAGCAAUUGGAGUGUACUGAUGAGCGUCCUUAGUCCCUGUGAGAUCAGGGGAUUUGGGCAGCAGCUCCACUGCCCCCUGGCUGUGGAGUCUUAGCAGGCCACUUCCCUCUGGGACCUUUGAAAAAUAGGUCCUCAUCUGAAAAACAGGACGAAGAGUGAAAGCUAUGGGAGUUCCCAUUGUGGCUCAGUGGGUUAAGAGCCCAACAUAGUGUCCAUGAGAAUGCAGGUUUGACCCCUGGCCUUGCUCAGUGGAUUAAGAAUACGGCAUUAACACAAACUGUAGUGGCUCCCAGAGUCACCUUGGAUCCAGCAUUGUUGUGGCUGUGGUAUAGGCCUGCAGCUGUAGCUCCAAUUCAACCCCUAGCCUGGGAAUUUCCAUAUGCCACACACAAAUGCAGGUAUGGCUGUAAAAAGAAAAGAAAAUAAUAAGAGCUACUUCGUGGAGUUAUUCUUAGGAUUCAAUGGUAUAGGUAUACAUUGCUAUGUUUCUGCUAAAGCACUUUACAAAUGGAAAAAGGAGACCGAUGGAACAAAUGGAAUGAGAAAAUAGGGAAAGAGGAAUAUUAGCCUGCAAAAACAACCAGGCAAAUUUUGGUGUUCAUUGGCAUUUAUCUUGAGUUUUAUUUACGGCCCAGUUGGGCAGUUGACUUCUGUACCUCUCAUGGAAAAGGACAGAGAAUAAGGAUGAAGCACAUUCAGGAGGCCCGACUUGAAUUGCUCUCUGAAGGAUCACAAAGCUUGCACCACUGCCAAGGUCUCUUUUGUCUCUAGGCCUGUCUAUAUAGACUGUUCCACCACUGGCCACCCCAUCUGUGACACAGUCACCCCCCUCUCUCCCAAUGUGCUCUCUUCCUUUCUGACACUGCCCUUAGAACCUGAAGCUUCUGCCCUUGGUCAUCCUUUGAUGCUGCACUCUUUACUUUUUCUCUUUUUAUGGCCAUACCUGUUGCAUAUGGAAGUUCCUGGGCUAGGGGUCCAAUUGGAGCUGUAGCUGCCGGCCUAUACCACAGCUGCUGCAGCACUGGAUCUGAGCUGCAUCUGUGACCCACACCAGCUUUCAACAAUAUUGGAUCCUUAACACACUGAGGGAGGCCAGGGAUUGAACCUGCAUUCUCAUGGAUACUAGUCAGGUUUGUUACUACUGAGCCACAAUGGGAACUCCCAGAGCAAGAAAUUUUGACAAGUGUCUAGAGAUAUUUGUCAGUGUCUAGAGAUAUUUUUGGUUGACACAACUGGGGGCAGGGGAGGAUGCUACUGGCAUCUAGUGGGUAGAAGUCACGGAUGCUUCUUACAAUCCAAAGGACAGCGCCCCCGCCCCCAACAAAAAAUAUACAGACCAAAAUGUUAAGUGUCAAAAUUAAGAACCCCCCCCCCAAAAAUAAAGGAGUUCCCGUCGUGGCGCAGUGGUUAACGAAUCCGACUAGGAACCAUGAGGUUGCGGGCUCGGUCCCUGCCCUUGCUCCGUGGGUUAACCAUCCGGCGUUACCGUGAGCUGUGGUGUAGGUUGCAGACGCGGCUCAGAUCCCGCCUUGCUGUGGCUCUGGUGUAGGCUGGUGGUUACAGCUCCGAUUCGACCCCUAGCCUGGGAACCUCCAUAUGCCGUGGGAGCGGCCUAAGAAAUAGCAAAAAGACAAAAAAAAAAAAAAAAUUAAGAAACCCUGGUCCUCCCUAGAGAAGUACAACCAAUGUGUUUACAGUUUCAACAACCACCUAUAAAUGAUCCCCAAAUCUGAACUUCUCUCUCAAUUGCCACUGCUGCCUGUCAAUGCCCUGGACAGUCCACAGACCCAUUCAACAGUCGAACCAAACCCUUUAUCUUUCCCCAGUUUCCUCCUCCUGGAUAGUAUUCCCACUCUACCCGUUUUCCAAGUUAGGAACCCCUGAGCCAUCCUACACACACACUGGGACAUCACUAAGUCUUAGUCUUGUCUCUCAAAUCCACCCCCUCCUUACCAUACCAGCUCCUGCUUCCUAGAUAAAGCCAGUAUGAGCUCUUCUCUGGAAAAUUCCAUCCGCCUCCUAACUGACCUUUCUUUUCCCAUCCAUUCCUCUUGGGGUUGCUUGCUCCUCCCUGCCCCCAGGGUAAAGUCCAAACAACUUAGCUUGGCAUUCCAAGAUUGUUCUCAACCUGCUUUUUGAAGCUUAUCUCCCAUGAGAGUCACCUCCCUGCUCCUCAGUCAUACUAAAUUACAUGCCCUUCCCCCAAACUCACCUACCUCUUUUAAAUCUUUACCAAGUGGACUUGUCUCAUAAGUGAAUAUCCUGCUUCAUUCAUCACUGCCUAUGGGAAGUCUAUUCUUUUCUUUUCUUUCUUUCUUUCUUUUUUUUCUUUUUAGGGUUGAACCUGUGGCAUAUGGAAGUUCCCCAGAUAGGGGUUGAAUCAAAGCUGCAGCUGCCACUAGGCCACAGUCACAGCCAUGCUGGAUCCAAGCUGCAUCUACGACCUAUGCUGCAUCUUGUGGCAAUGCCAGAUCCUUAACCCACUGAACAAGGCCAAGGAUGGAACUGUCUUCCUCAUGGAUACUGGUUGGGCCCUUAAUCUGCUGAGCCACAAUGGGAACUCCAGGAAAUCUAUUCUUUUUUUUUUUUGUCUUUUUGUUGUUGCUAUUUCUUGGGCCACUCCCACGGCAUAUGGAGGUUCCCAGGCUAGGGGUUGAAUCGGAGCUGUAGCCACCGGCCUACGCCAGAGCCACAGCAACUCGGGAUCUGAGCCGUGUCUGCAACCUACACCACAGCUCAUGGCAACGCCGGAUUGUUAACCCACUGAACAAGGGCAGGGACCGAACCCGCAACCUCAUGGUUCCUAGUCGGAUUCGUUAACCACUGCGCCACGACGGGAACUCCCAGGAAAUCUAUUAUUUCCAGAUUUCUUCUGGAUUUCCCCACUGAAGUUAACUUCUUCCUCUUUUUUUUUUUUUUAAGGGCACACCCAGGGCAUAUGAAAGUUCCUGGGCUAGGGAUCAAACUGGAGCUGCAGUUGUAGGCCUACACCACAGCCAUGACAAUGCCAGAUCCGAGCCACAUCUGCGACCUGCACCACAGUUCAAUGCUGUAUCCUGAACCCACUGAGUGGGGCCAGGGAUUGAACCUGCAUCCUCAUGGAUACCAGUCAGAUUCCUUACCAUUGAGCCACAACGGGAACUCCAUGAAAAUCAGAAUUUUAGAAAACUUGUAUCUGCCACUGUGAGUCUGGCAACUUCCUGACAUUUAAUUUUUUUUUUUUGUCUGUCUUUUGUUGUUGUUGUUGUUGCUAUUUCUUGGGCCGCUCCCGCGGCAUAUGGAGGUUCCCAGGCUAGGGGUUGAAUCGGAGCUGUAGCCACCGGCCUACGCCAGAGCCACAGCAACGCGGGAUCCGAGCCGCGUCUGCAACCUACACCACAGCUCACGGCAACGCCGGAUCGUUAACCCACUGAGCAAGGGCAGGGACCGAGCCCGCAACCUCAUGGUUCCUAGUCGGAUUCGUUAACCACUGCGCCACGACGGGAACUCCCUUCCUGACAUUUAAGACAUUCUACAUUUGCGAGGGCCUACUGUAGAACGGUGGGUUAAGAAUCCAACUACAGCAGCUCAGGUCACUGAGAUGGCAUGGAUUCAAUUCCUGGCCCAGGAACUUCCAUAUGCUGCAGUUAUGGCCAUAAAAGAGAAGGAGAGAGAGAGAUUGAUUCUGCAUUUGGAAGAGCUGUAUAACUCAGUGAACCAAUGUUUUCCAAAUGACCAUAUGUAUGAUUUCACAAAUUCAUGCAUGACUAAAGGGUCUAUUCAAAGUGCAAGACAUACCAAUGAUUUUAAUGUAACAGAGCAAAAAGUUCAUUAUUGACUUCUGAUUUCACAUCUGACUAACCUUUUAAAAGCCAUUUAUAAGUUUAGGUGGGGCAUCACACCUUCAUUGUGGUAUCCACAAUCAUCUAAACAGGCUAUUAAAAUGCUUUUCUUGGGGAGGCAGAACUGUGCUGGCAGCAUGCAGAAGUUCCCAGGCCAGGGAUCAAAGCUGUUUCACCACAGCAACCUGAGCCACAGGAGUGAAAACACCAGAUCCUUAACCUGAUGGGCCACCAGGGAAUUCCUAGAAUGCUUUUUUCCAACUAAAUAUCUAUGGGGCCAGAUUUCCUUCACAUACUUAAAUCAAUGCCAUUUCAGAACAGAUGGAAUAUAGAAGCAGAUAUGAGAAUCCAGCUCUCUUCAAUUAAGCCAGAUAUUAAUGAGAUUUGCAUGUAAAACAAUAUACUGCUCUCAUAUAACUUUUUUUUGUGUGGAAAACAUACUUUUUAAUAAAAAUGUUAUGUAGACAUGUAAAGAGUUUAUUACUUUUUUCUAUUAGUGAAUCAACACUUUUAUACAUUUCUCAGUGUAAAUUUCCAAUAUACUAAAAACAGAAAAACAUAACUCAUAUAAAUAAAAGUUCUGGAGUUCCCAUAAUGGCACAGCG